UACGAAGGGGGCUAGCGUUGUUCGGAAUUACUGGGCGUAAAGCGCGCGUAGGCGGCGCGACAAGUCAGGGGUGAAAUCCCGGAGCUUAACUCCGGAACUGCCUUUGAAACUGUCGUGCUGGAAUCUCAGAGGGGAUAGCGGAAUUCCAAAUGUAGGGGUGAAAUCCGUAGAUAUUUGGAGGAACACCGGUGGCGAAGGCGGCUAUCUGGAUGAGUAUUGACGCUGAGGCGCGAAAGCGUGGGGAUCAAACAGG
RNAcentral lists this ribosomal RNA (253 nucleotides) under uncultured bacterium. RNAcentral's name for it is "partial 16S ribosomal RNA". It matches the Rfam family "Bacterial small subunit ribosomal RNA", at positions 524 to 776 of the family's 1533-position model. The record is from RNAcentral.